This 468-nucleotide ribosomal RNA is filed under the name uncultured bacterium. RNAcentral describes it as "bacterial SSU rRNA". It matches the Rfam family "Bacterial small subunit ribosomal RNA", at positions 355 to 825 of the family's 1533-position model. The record is from RNAcentral.
UGGGGAAUAUUGGACAAUGGGCGCAAGCCUGAUCCAGCCAUACCGCGUGCAGGAUGACGGUCCUAUGGAUUGUAAACUGCUUUUUGUACAGGAAGAAACAGUUCUACGUGUAGAACCUUGACGGUACUGUAAGAAUAAGGAUCGGCUAACUCCGUGCCAGCAGCCGCGGUAAUACGGAGGAUCCAAGCGUUAUCCGGAAUCAUUGGGUUUAAAGGGUCCGUAGGCGGUUAGAUAAGUCAGUGGUGAAAGCCCAUCGCUCAACGGUGGAACGGCCAUUGAUACUGUCUGACUUGAAUUAUUAGGAAGUAACUAGAAUAUGUAGUGUAGCGGUGAAAUGCUUAGAGAUUACAUGGAAUACCAAUUGCGAAGGCAGGUUACUACUAAUGGAUUGACGCUGAUGGACGAAAGCGUGGGUAGCGAACAGGAUUAGAUACCCAUGUAGUCCCUGAGCGGGCUGGCAAGGCGCAU